UACGAGUGCCUCGAGCGUUAUCCGGAAUCAUUGGGCGUAAAGGGUGUGUAGGCGGCGAUGUUAGUCUCGUGUAAAAUCUUUCGGCCCAACCGAGAGCCCGCACGGGAAACGGCAUUGCUUAGAGGACGGUAGAGGUCUCUGGAACUCAUGGUGUAGCGGUGAAAUGCGUUGAUAUCAUGGGGAACACCAAAAGCGAAGGCAAGAGACUGGACCGCUCCUGACGCUGAAACACGAAAGCGUGGGUCGCGAAUGGG
RNAcentral lists this ribosomal RNA (254 nucleotides) under uncultured bacterium. RNAcentral describes it as "partial 16S ribosomal RNA". It matches the Rfam family "Bacterial small subunit ribosomal RNA", at positions 524 to 776 of the family's 1533-position model. The record is from RNAcentral.